Molecule: ribosomal RNA, 1279 nt
Filed under: Megacopta cribraria (bean plataspid)
Lineage: Eukaryota; Metazoa; Arthropoda; Insecta; Hemiptera; Plataspidae
Description: 16S ribosomal RNA
Rfam family: Archaeal large subunit ribosomal RNA (bases 843-1200)
Source: RNAcentral
UAUUAGGUUUUUUAAUUUAUUUUUUUAUUUAUUAUUAUUAUGAUAGAAUUAACUUUUGGUAUUAGUAUAUUUUAUAAAAUAUACAUUUUAAUUUUUAUAGUUUAUUUUACUGUGAGGGUUUAUUAUCUAAAUUGUUUAAAGUAAAAUUUUUUGUUUGUACCUUUUGCAUCAGGGUUUAUUAAAUUAUCUUAUUUAUAAAUAGUUUUCCCGAAAUUACAGGAGAUACAUUUGUUUGUUAUUUAUUGUUUUAAAACUAUUAAUUAAAUAAAUAUAGGGGAGAUAUUCUAUUCAACUGUAAAUAUCUGGUUCUCUAAUAAAUGAAUUUAAUUCAGGGUCAUUUACAAUUACUAGAUAAUUACAUUUUGUCUAAUUUAAUUGAUCUAAUAAUAUGGGGGAUUAGCUCUUUGUUAUUUUUAUAGCUUUAAGGUUUAAUUUAUAAGUUUUGUAGGAUUAGUAAUAUUCUUCAUUUAUUUUGUUGUAAUUAUUUUUAUAAAUAUUUAUUUAUUUCAUUCUGGCUUGAAUUUUUAUUAGAGUUUUUAAAUUAAUUUUUAAUUUAAAGUGAUAAUGAUAAAAUUAGUAAUUUUUAUAAUUUAAGUAUAAUAAUUCGGCAAAUAUGAUUCUUACCUGUUUAUCAAAAACAUGUCCUAUUGUUUAUUUAUUUUAGGUCUGGCCUGCUCAAUGAUUAUUAUUUUAAAUAGCCGCAGUAUUUUGACUGUGCAAAGGUAGCAUAAUCAUUUGUCUCUUAAUUGGGGGCUUGUAUGAAUGGUUUGAUAAGGAUUCAACUUUCUUUACUUAAUAUUAAUGAAUUUAAUUUUUGGGUUAAAAAGCUCAAAUAUUUUUAUGGGACGAGAAGACCCUAUAGAAAUUUACUCUAUUUUUGGUGCUUAUUUUUAUUCUUUUUGGAAUUUUUAUCAUUACUAGAGUUUUGUUGGGGUGACAUGAAGAUUGUUAUAACUCUUUGUUAUUACUUUUUAUUUAUUUAUAUACAACUGAUCCUUUUUUAUGGAUUAAAAGAUUAAUUUACCUUAGGGAUAACAGCGUAAUUUCUUUGGAGAGUUCAUAUUGAUGAAGAAGUUUGCGACCUCGAUGUUGGAUUAAAAUAAGUGUUAAGUGCAGCAGCUUAAUUACUAGGUCUGUUCGACCUUUAAUUUUUUACAUGAUCUGAGUUCAGACCGGCGUGAGCCAGGUCGGUUUCUAUCUUUAAUUUAUCUAUUUAUGUUUUAGUACGAAAGGACCAAAUAUAACAGUUAUUACUGUAAAAUUAUGAUUUAUAUUAAUU